GGGUUGUGAGGUUAAGCGACUAAGCGUACACGGUGGAUGCCCUGGCAGUCAGAGGCGAUGAAGGACGUGCUAAUCUGCGAUAAGCGUCGGUAAGGUGAUAUGAACCGUUAUAACCGGCGAUUUCCGAAUGGGGAAACCCAGUGUGUUUCGACACACUAUCAUUAACUGAAUCCAUAGGUUAAUGAGGCGAACCGGGGGAACUGAAACAUCUAAGUACCCCGAGGAAAAGAAAUCAACCGAGAUUCCCCCAGUAGCGGCGAGCGAACGGGGAGCAGCCCAGAGCCUGAAUCAGUGUGUGUGUUAGUGGAAGCGUCUGGAAAGGCGCGCGAUACAGGGUGACAGCCCCGUACACAAAAAUGCACAUGCUGUGAGCUCGAUGAGUAGGGCGGGACACGUGGUAUCCUGUCUGAAUAUGGGGGGACCAUCCUCCAAGGCUAAAUACUCCUGACUGACCGAUAGUGAACCAGUACCGUGAGGGAAAGGCGAAAAGAACCCCGGCGAGGGGAGUGAAAAAGAACCUGAAACCGUGUACGUACAAGCAGUGGGAGCACGCUUAGGCGUGUGACUGCGUACCUUUUGUAUAAUGGGUCAGCGACUUAUAUUCUGUAGCAAGGUUAACCGAAUAGGGGAGCCGAAGGGAAACCGAGUCUUAACUGGGCGUUAAGUUGCAGGGUAUAGACCCGAAACCCGGUGAUCUAGCCAUGGGCAGGUUGAAGGUUGGGUAACACUAACUGGAGGACCGAACCGACUAAUGUUGAAAAAUUAGCGGAUGACUUGUGGCUGGGGGUGAAAGGCCAAUCAAACCGGGAGAUAGCUGGUUCUCCCCGAAAGCUAUUUAGGUAGCGCCUCGUGAACUCAUCUCCGGGGGUAGAGCACUGUUUCGGCAAGGGGGUCAUCCCGACUUACCAACCCGAUGCAAACUGCGAAUACCGGAGAAUGUUAUCACGGGAGACACACGGCGGGUGCUAACGUCCGUCGUGAAGAGGGAAACAACCCAGACCGCCAGCUAAGGUCCCAAAGUCAUGGUUAAGUGGGAAACGAUGUGGGAAGGCCCAGACAGCCAGGAUGUUGGCUUAGAAGCAGCCAUCAUUUAAAGAAAGCGUAAUAGCUCACUGGUCGAGUCGGCCUGCGCGGAAGAUGUAACGGGGCUAAACCAUGCACCGAAGCUGCGGCAGCGACACUAUGUGUUGUUGGGUAGGGGAGCGUUCUGUAAGCCUGUGAAGGUGUGCUGUGAGGCAUGCUGGAGGUAUCAGAAGUGCGAAUGCUGACAUAAGUAACGAUAAAGCGGGUGAAAAGCCCGCUCGCCGGAAGACCAAGGGUUCCUGUCCAACGUUAAUCGGGGCAGGGUGAGUCGACCCCUAAGGCGAGGCCGAAAGGCGUAGUCGAUGGGAAACAGGUUAAUAUUCCUGUACUUGGUGUUACUGCGAAGGGGGGACGGAGAAGGCUAUGUUGGCCGGGCGACGGUUGUCCCGGUUUAAGCGUGUAGGCUGGUUUUCCAGGCAAAUCCGGAAAAUCAAGGCUGAGGCGUGAUGACGAGGCACUACGGUGCUGAAGCAACAAAUGCCCUGCUUCCAGGAAAAGCCUCUAAGCAUCAGGUAACAUCAAAUCGUACCCCAAACCGACACAGGUGGUCAGGUAGAGAAUACCAAGGCGCUUGAGAGAACUCGGGUGAAGGAACUAGGCAAAAUGGUGCCGUAACUUCGGGAGAAGGCACGCUGAUAUGUAGGUGAAGUCCCUCGCGGAUGGAGCUGAAAUCAGUCGAAGAUACCAGCUGGCUGCAACUGUUUAUUAAAAACACAGCACUGUGCAAACACGAAAGUGGACGUAUACGGUGUGACGCCUGCCCGGUGCCGGAAGGUUAAUUGAUGGGGUUAGCCGCAAGGCGAAGCUCUUGAUCGAAGCCCCGGUAAACGGCGGCCGUAACUAUAACGGUCCUAAGGUAGCGAAAUUCCUUGUCGGGUAAGUUCCGACCUGCACGAAUGGCGUAAUGAUGGCCAGGCUGUCUCCACCCGAGACUCAGUGAAAUUGAACUCGCUGUGAAGAUGCAGUGUACCCGCGGCAAGACGGAAAGACCCCGUGAACCUUUACUAUAGCUUGACACUGAACAUUGAGCCUUGAUGUGUAGGAUAGGUGGGAGGCUUUGAAGUGUGGACGCCAGUCUGCAUGGAGCCGACCUUGAAAUACCACCCUUUAAUGUUUGAUGUUCUAACGUUGACCCGUAAUCCGGGUUGCGGACAGUGUCUGGUGGGUAGUUUGACUGGGGCGGUCUCCUCCUAAAGAGUAACGGAGGAGCACGAAGGUUGGCUAAUCCUGGUCGGACAUCAGGAGGUUAGUGCAAUGGCAUAAGCCAGCUUGACUGCGAGCGUGACGGCGCGAGCAGGUGCGAAAGCAGGUCAUAGUGAUCCGGUGGUUCUGAAUGGAAGGGCCAUCGCUCAACGGAUAAAAGGUACUCCGGGGAUAACAGGCUGAUACCGCCCAAGAGUUCAUAUCGACGGCGGUGUUUGGCACCUCGAUGUCGGCUCAUCACAUCCUGGGGCUGAAGUAGGUCCCAAGGGUAUGGCUGUUCGCCAUUUAAAGUGGUACGCGAGCUGGGUUUAGAACGUCGUGAGACAGUUCGGUCCCUAUCUGCCGUGGGCGCUGGAGAACUGAGGGGGGCUGCUCCUAGUACGAGAGGACCGGAGUGGACGCAUCACUGGUGUUCGGGUUGUCAUGCCAAUGGCACUGCCCGGUAGCUAAAUGCGGAAGAGAUAAGUGCUGAAAGCAUCUAAGCACGAAACUUGCCCCGAGAUGAGUUCUCCCUGACUCCUUGAGAGUCCUGAAGGAACGUUGAAGACGACGACGUUGAUAGGCCGGGUGUGUAAGCGCAGCGAUGCGUUGAGCUAACCGGUACUAAUGAACCGUGAGGCUUAACCUUACAACGCCGAAG
This 2926-nucleotide ribosomal RNA is filed under the name Escherichia coli. RNAcentral describes it as "bacterial LSU rRNA". It matches the Rfam family "Bacterial large subunit ribosomal RNA". Lineage: Bacteria; Pseudomonadati; Pseudomonadota; Gammaproteobacteria; Enterobacterales; Enterobacteriaceae. The record is from RNAcentral.